Podarcis lilfordi (Lilford's wall lizard) is the source of this 84-nucleotide non-coding RNA. Lineage: Eukaryota; Metazoa; Chordata; Lepidosauria; Squamata; Lacertidae. The record is from the annotation of a GenBank genome assembly.
GAUUCUGGAUAGCUCAGUUGGUUAGAGUGUGGUGCUUCUAAUGCCAAGGUUGCAGCGGGUUGGGCUAGAUGACCCUCAGGGUCC